RNAcentral lists this ribosomal RNA (111 nucleotides) under Vibrio cholerae. Its description in RNAcentral is "partial 16S ribosomal RNA". It matches the Rfam family "Bacterial small subunit ribosomal RNA", at positions 1432 to 1533 of the family's 1533-position model. Lineage: Bacteria; Pseudomonadati; Pseudomonadota; Gammaproteobacteria; Vibrionales; Vibrionaceae. The record is from RNAcentral.
AGUUUAACCUUCGGGAGGACGCUUGCCACUUUGUGGUUCAUGACUGGGGUGAAGUCGUAACAAGGUAGCGCUAGGGGAACCUGGCGCUGGAUCACCUCCUUAUACGAUGAU